GAUGAACGCUGGCGGUAUGCUUAACACAUGCAAGUCGAACGGACUCCUCGGAGUUAGUGGCGGACGGGUGAGUAACGCGUGAGAAUCUGGCUUUGGGUUCGGGACAACCGCUGGAAACGGUGGCUAAUACCGGAUGUGCCGAGAGGUAAAAGAGAAAUUGCCUGAAGAUGAGCUCGCGUCUGAUUAGCUAGUUGGUGAGGUAAAGGCUCACCAAGGCAGCGAUCAGUAGCUGGUCUGAGAGGAUGACCAGCCACACUGGGACUGAGACACGGCCCAGACUCCUACGGGAGGCAGCAGUGGGGAAUUUUCCGCAAUGGGCGAAAGCCUGACGGAGCAAUACCGCGUGAGGGAAGAAGGCUCUUGGGUUGUAAACCUCUUUUCUUAGGGAAGAACAAAAUGACGGUACCUAAGGAAUCAGCAUCGGCUAACUCCGUG
Molecule: ribosomal RNA, 435 nt
Filed under: uncultured bacterium
Lineage: Bacteria
Description: partial 16S ribosomal RNA
Rfam family: Bacterial small subunit ribosomal RNA
Source: RNAcentral